This 496-nucleotide ribosomal RNA is filed under the name uncultured bacterium. Its description in RNAcentral is "partial 16S ribosomal RNA". It matches the Rfam family "Bacterial small subunit ribosomal RNA", at positions 29 to 507 of the family's 1533-position model. The record is from RNAcentral.
AUGAACGCUGGCGGCGUGCCUAAUACAUGCAAGUCGAGCGAACGGACGAGAAGCUUGCUUUUCUGAUGUUAGCGGCGGACGGGUGAGUAACACGUGGAUAACCUACCUAUAAGACUGGGAUAACUUCGGGAAACCGGAGCUAAUACCGGAUAAUAUUUUGAACCUCAUGGUUCAAAAGUGAAAGACGGUCUUGCUGUCACUUAUAGAUGGAUCCGCGCUGCAUUAGCUAGUUGGUAAGGUAACGGCUUACCAAGGCAACGAUGCAUAGCCGACCUGAGAGGGUGAUCGGCCACACUGGAACUGAGACACGGUCCAGACUCCUACGGGAGGCAGCAGUAGGGAAUCUUCCGCAAUGGGUGAAAGCCUGACGGAGCAACGCCGCGUGAGUGAUGAAGGUCUUCGGAUCGUAAAACUCUGUUAUUAGGGAAGAACAUAUGUGUAAGUAACUGUGCACAUCUUGACGGUACCUAAUCAGAAAGCCACGGCUAACUACGUG